Molecule: unclassified non-coding RNA, 263 nt
Filed under: Hevea brasiliensis (rubber tree)
Lineage: Eukaryota; Viridiplantae; Streptophyta; Magnoliopsida; Malpighiales; Euphorbiaceae
Source: RNAcentral
GGGGAGGGUGCGCGUACAAUGUACAGAAUAAAUACUGUGUAGCAUGAGAAAAAAAAUUACGUCUUCUGGAACAAUUCGAAGAGAGUUUCUAUCUUGUCUGCUUCAUCAUCCACAAUCUCCUCUGCAUCAGUGACCAGAACUUCACUGUUUCUGAAGGAUAAUUCAUGACCUGGUUGGUUUGUAGUUUCAACAAUGCAAUCUUCUUGGUGAUCAUUAGACAGAACCUUCUCAUCUAGGUGGUUAAAUGAGCCUCUAGAGGAACA